This 256-nucleotide long non-coding RNA is filed under the name Sorghum bicolor (sorghum). Its description in RNAcentral is "long non-coding RNA (SBIC_LNC003037)". Lineage: Eukaryota; Viridiplantae; Streptophyta; Magnoliopsida; Poales; Poaceae. The record is from RNAcentral.
GCUAUUACUAAUACCAUCCAUGCAUUUAAUCUGAAAUAGCAUGACAAUGAAAGAAAUCUUUGUAACCUCUUUGCAACCUGGAUAUAACUCCUUCUUUGCCUCUUCUAGUAACCUAAAAAGUUUUUUUGCAGACGCAUUUGGCUCGUCCUCAUCUCUUCCUGUGACUUCUCCAUGUAUAACACCUCUGAUCAAUGAAGAAAUUAAUUCAUGGGAACUUUCAGCAUGAUCUAGUGCAGCGCCAUCAUCGUUAUCAUUC